UAUUCGAUUCACCGACCGGGACUCAGAGGGACUUAUGUCACCAAAAACAGCAAAGAUCUGAGUACUGAAUACAUAGAGUACAUUCCUUAUAUAGCACUGUAGCUCUUCCCAUAAUUAGCUACGCCCACACAUUCCCUUAACCUAAUCAAUGAAUAGAGUCUAAACUCAUCCAUCCGGUCUAACCACGUGGCUCAUCUGAAAC
This is a non-coding RNA of Pelobates cultripes (western spadefoot toad), 202 nucleotides long. The record is from the annotation of a GenBank genome assembly. NCBI's taxonomy places the organism in Eukaryota, Metazoa, Chordata, Amphibia, Anura, Pelobatidae.